AUUCUGGUCGUAGGGAUAGCACUAAAAGUGCCAAUUCUGGUCGCAGGGAUAGCACAAAAAGUGUGAACACUGGCCGAAGUGCAGCGAGUAGCGGGAUCGGCAGUGCUCGAGGGACCGAUUAUGACAGCGGUGGAGAAAGUAGUGGCAUCAUGAUGAGUGGAAGGUCGACAGGGAGU
This 176-nucleotide non-coding RNA is filed under the name Pteridomonas danica. Lineage: Eukaryota; Dictyochophyceae; Pedinellales. The record is from RNAcentral.